This 496-nucleotide ribosomal RNA is filed under the name uncultured bacterium. RNAcentral's name for it is "bacterial SSU rRNA". It matches the Rfam family "Bacterial small subunit ribosomal RNA", at positions 8 to 507 of the family's 1533-position model. The record is from RNAcentral.
AGAGUUUGAUCAUGGCUCAGGAUGAACGCUAGCGGCAGGCCUAAUACAUGCAAGUCGAACGCUCAGUAGCAAUACUGGGAGUGGCGCACGGGUGCGUAACGCGUACACAAUCUACCUCUAAGCGGGGGACACCUCCUGGAAACGGGGAUUAAUACCGCAUAAUAUGCCGAAGUCGCAUGACUUUGGUAUUAAAGCAGCAAUGCACUUAGAGAUGAGUGUGCGUCCCAUUAGGUAGUUGGUGAGGUAACGGCUCACCAAGCCUAUGAUGGGUAGCCGGUCUGAGAGGAUGGUCGGCCACACGGGCACUGAGACACGGGCCCGACUCCUACGGGAGGCAGCAGUAAGGAAUAUUGGUCAAUGGUGGAAACACUGAACCAGCCAUGCCGCGUGGAGGAAUAAGGUCCUACGGAUUGUAAUCUCCUUUUGACGAGGAAGAAAAUGUUAGAUUUAUCUAAUUUUGACGGUACUCGUAGAAUAAGCACCGGCUAACUCCGUG